This 73-nucleotide transfer RNA is filed under the name Ilumatobacter sp. Its description in RNAcentral is "tRNA-Val". It matches the Rfam family "tRNA". From Rfam's summary of the family: Transfer RNA (tRNA) molecules are approximately 80 nucleotides in length. Their secondary structure includes four short double-helical elements and three loops (D, anti-codon, and T loops). Further hydrogen bonds mediate the characteristic L-shaped molecular structure. tRNAs have two regions of fundamental functional importance: the anti-codon, which is responsible for specific mRNA codon recognition, and the 3' end, to which the tRNAs corresponding amino acid is attached (by aminoacyl-tRNA synthetases). tRNAs cope with the degeneracy of the genetic code in two manners: having more than one tRNA (with a specific anti-codon) for a particular amino acid; and 'wobble' base-pairing, i.e. permitting non-standard base-pairing at the 3rd anti-codon position. Lineage: Bacteria; Bacillati; Actinomycetota; Acidimicrobiia; Acidimicrobiales; Ilumatobacteraceae. RNAcentral also lists the same sequence under 2 other names. The record is from RNAcentral.
GGGCGUAUAGCUCAGUUGGUAGAGCACUGCCCUUACAAGGCAUAGGUCGGGGGUUCGAGUCCCUCUGCGCCCA